CCUACGGGAGGCAGCAGUGGGGAAUAUUGCACAAUGGGGGAAACCCUGAUGCAGCGACGCCGCGUGAAGGAAGAAGUAUUUCGGUAUGUAAACUUCUAUCAGCAGGGAAGAAAAUGACGGUACCUGACUAAGAAGCCCCGGCUAACUACGUGCCAGAAGCCGCGGUAAUACGUAGGGGGCAAGCGUUAUCCGGAUUUACUGGGGGUAAAGGGAGCGUAGGCGGUUUAGAAAGUCAGAAGUGAAAGCCCGGGGGUCAACUCCGGGACUGCUUUUGAAACUGUUGAACUAGAUUUCAGGAGAGGUAAGUGGAAUUCCUAGUGUAGCGGUGAAAUGCAUAGAUAUUAGGAGGAACACCAGUGGCGAAGGCGGCUUACUGGACUGUAAAUGACGCUGAGGCUCGAAAGCGUGGGGAGCAAACAGGAUUAGAUACCCCUGUAGUC
This 440-nucleotide ribosomal RNA is filed under the name uncultured bacterium. RNAcentral's name for it is "partial 16S ribosomal RNA". It matches the Rfam family "Bacterial small subunit ribosomal RNA", at positions 338 to 795 of the family's 1533-position model. The record is from RNAcentral.